RNAcentral lists this ribosomal RNA (571 nucleotides) under Aspergillus niger. RNAcentral describes it as "partial 26S ribosomal RNA". It matches the Rfam family "Eukaryotic large subunit ribosomal RNA", at positions 67 to 653 of the family's 3401-position model. The record is from RNAcentral. Lineage: Eukaryota; Fungi; Ascomycota; Eurotiomycetes; Eurotiales; Aspergillaceae.
CACGGUGGCAUCGCGUCCAUACGGCGAGUGAGCGGCAAGAGCUCAAAUUUGAAAGCUGGCUCCUUCGGAGUCCGCAUUGUAAUUUGCAGAGGAUGCUUUGGGUGCGGCCCCCGUCUAAGUGCCCUGGAACGGGCCGUCAGAGAGGGUGAGAAUCCCGUCUUGGGCGGGGUGUCCGUGCCCGUGUAAAGCUCCUUCGACGAGUCGAGUUGUUUGGGAAUGCAGCUCUAAAUGGGUGGUAAAUUUCAUCUAAAGCUAAAUACUGGCCGGAGACCGAUAGCGCACAAGUAGAGUGAUCGAAAGAUGAAAAGCACUUUGAAAAGAGAGUUAAACAGCACGUGAAAUUGUUGAAAGGGAAGCGCUUGCGACCAGACUCGCCCGCGGGGUUCAGCCGGCAUUCGUGCCGGUGUACUUCCCCGUGGGCGGGCCAGCGUCGGUUUGGGCGGCCGGUCAAAGGCCCCUGGAAUGUAGUGCCCUCCGGGGCACCUUAUAGCCAGGGGUGCAAUGCGGCCAGCCUGGACCGAGGAACGCGCUUCGGCACGGACGCUGGCAUAAUGGUCGUAAACGACCCGUC